RNAcentral lists this long non-coding RNA (227 nucleotides) under Eutrema salsugineum. Its description in RNAcentral is "long non-coding RNA (ESAL_LNC000651)". The record is from RNAcentral. Lineage: Eukaryota; Viridiplantae; Streptophyta; Magnoliopsida; Brassicales; Brassicaceae.
CGGAAGUUAGAUUUGGUGUUUGAGUAAAGCCUCUUCCACUCAUCGAGAACCAUUGGGCUUGGUGGUAGCAAGUCAAGAGGGUUCUUUGCUUUGGGCUUUGGUGCCUCUUCCUCUUCAGCAGGCUUAGGCGCCUCUGCUGCAGGGGCUUCCUUCUUCUUGGGCUGUUCCUUGGGCUUUGCAGGCUGGGCAGCUUUCUUGGAAGCAACAGGAGGGACUGCUUCAGUCUG